This 256-nucleotide ribosomal RNA is filed under the name uncultured Rhizophagus. RNAcentral's name for it is "partial large subunit ribosomal RNA". It matches the Rfam family "Eukaryotic large subunit ribosomal RNA", at positions 359 to 630 of the family's 3401-position model. Lineage: Eukaryota; Fungi; Glomeromycota; Glomeromycetes; Glomerales; Glomeraceae. The record is from RNAcentral.
GAAAGAUGAAAAGAACUUUGAAAAGAGAGUUAAACAGUACGUGAAAUUGUUGAAAGGGAAACGAUUGAAGCCAGUCGUACCUUCGGGUAAUCAGCCUUUCGGGUGCGAUUCUGUGGAGUGUGAGGAGCUUAACACCUUCAUGCUUUGCAUAUUUGUGCUCUUGGGUGUACUUGCCCGUGUGGUUGGUUAACAUCAAUUUUGGUUAUCAUAAAAUGAUUGGAGGAAUGUAGCUUCGAUCUCGUAUUGAAGUGUUAUA